GUUUUUAUUUAUCACUUAUGUACCAUUUGACCUGGUGCAGAGAUGAUAAAAAUGAUGGAGUCAUCAAUGCAGUAUUACUUAGUGUGAAUUUGACUUAAAGUCACUAUUCCAUUAUGGUAUAAUGUAGUAUGACAAAAUCACCAAAUGACGAAAUCCUCAACGGACUGUUAAAUACAGUGCGGCAUCAUGACGUCAUUCUCAAAAAUGUUUUUAUUGAAAGAAAUUUUCCAAACCAAAUUGUUUUGCUGCGGAAUCAAGUAAGACUGAGCAGAAUAACCUUUUAUAUAAAGGGAAUAUUUUAAUUUGAGUAUCUUUGAUAGAUACCCGAGAAAUUUGAGUAUCUUUGAUAGAUACCCGAGAAAAUAAGUUCAUGAUC
This 376-nucleotide long non-coding RNA is filed under the name Panax ginseng (ginseng). RNAcentral's name for it is "long non-coding RNA (PGIN_LNC007193)". The record is from RNAcentral. Lineage: Eukaryota; Viridiplantae; Streptophyta; Magnoliopsida; Apiales; Araliaceae.